Molecule: ribosomal RNA, 455 nt
Filed under: uncultured Polaromonas sp.
Lineage: Bacteria; Pseudomonadati; Pseudomonadota; Betaproteobacteria; Burkholderiales; Comamonadaceae
Description: bacterial SSU rRNA
Rfam family: Bacterial small subunit ribosomal RNA
Source: RNAcentral
CACAAGCGGUGGAGUAUGUGGUUUAAUUCGAUGCAACGCGAAAACCUUACCUGCCCUUGACAUCCUCGGAACUUGUCAGAGAUGACUUGGUGCCUUCGGGAACCGAGAGACAGGUGCUGCAUGGCUGUCGUCAGCUCGUGUCGUGAGAUGUUGGGUUAAGUCCCGCAACGAGCGCAACCCUUGUCAUUAGUUGCUACAUUCAGUUGGGCACUCUAAUGAGACUGCCGGUGACAAACCGGAGGAAGGUGGGGAUGACGUCAAGUCCUCAUGGCCCUUAUAGGUGGGGCUACACACGUCAUACAAUGGAUGGUACAAAGGGUCGCCAACCCGCGAGGGGGAGCCAAUCCCAUAAAGCCAUUCGUAGUCCGGAUCGCAGUCUGCAACUCGACUGCGUGAAGUCGGAAUCGCUAGUAAUCGUGGAUCAGAAUGUCACGGUGAAUACGUUCCCGGGUCUU